RNAcentral lists this ribosomal RNA (326 nucleotides) under uncultured eukaryote. RNAcentral describes it as "partial 18S ribosomal RNA". It matches the Rfam family "Eukaryotic small subunit ribosomal RNA", at positions 1470 to 1796 of the family's 1831-position model. The record is from RNAcentral.
CCCUUAGAUGUUCUGGGCCGCACGCGCGCUACACUGAUGCAUUCAACAAGCCUAGCCUUGACCGAGAGGUCCGGGUAAUCUUUGAAACUGCAUCGUGAUGGGGCUAGAUUAUUGCAAUUAUUAAUCUUCAACGAGGAAUGCCUAGUAAGCGUGAUUCAUCAAAUCGCGUUGAUUACGUCCCUGCCCUUUGUACACACCGCCCGUCGCUCCUACCGAUUGAAUGUGUUGGUGAGGAGCUCGGAUUGGCAGCAGUUGGUGGUUCGCCACCGGCUAUUGCUGAGAAGUCCUCCAAACCGNCNCAUUUANAGGAAGGAGANGUCGUNACA